Molecule: ribosomal RNA, 1271 nt
Filed under: uncultured fungus
Lineage: Eukaryota; Fungi
Description: eukaryotic LSU rRNA
Rfam family: Eukaryotic large subunit ribosomal RNA (bases 637-1271)
Source: RNAcentral
AAGUCGUAACAAGGUUUCCGUAGGUGGUAAGUAAACCGGCUCCGAAUUCAAAUAAAAGGAAAUCGAAAUACUAACUUCGUCUCUAGAACCUGCGGAAGGAUCAUUAAAAGAGAGCCCGGGGUGCCUUUUUUGGCCCUCAGACCUCCCACCCUUUGUGAACGUACCUUGAGUUGCUUUGGCGGGGCGUGGCCAGAAAUGGUCCCGCUGGUCCCCUUCGCCCGGGGCUAGCGUGCCCCCGCCAGAGAAUCAUAAGAAUCUUGCUUUAACAAAACCGUGUCUGAAGAAAUAUACUAUUGAAAUAGCGAAAAAACUUUCAACAACGGAUCUCUUGGUUCUGGCAUCGAUGAAGAACGCAGCGAAAUGCGAUAAGUAAUGUGAAUUGCAGAAUUCAGUGAAUCAUCGAAUCUUUGAACGCACAUUGCGCCCCCUGGUAUUCCGGCGGGCAUGCCUAUUCGAGCGUCAUUUCUAUCCUCAAGCUCCGCUUGGUAUUGGGAGGCAAGCCUCAUCCCCUUGGGGAGAGGCUCCCCCGAAAAUUAGCGGCGGAUCGGCCGGGGUCCCAGCGCAGUGACUUAUUUUUCUCGCUGAUUGGAUCCCGGGCGGCUCCUGCCGGGCUAAAACCAUUAUUUCUUUCAAGAUUGACCUCGGAUUAGGUAGGGAUACCCGCUGAACUUAAGCAUAUCAAUAAGCGGAGGAAAGAAACCAACAGGGAUUGCCUUAGUAACGGCGAGUGAAGCGGCAACAGCUCAAAUUUGAAAUCUGACUCCUUUUGGCGUCCGAAUUGUAAUUUGCAGAGGGCAUCUCGGGGGCGAUACCGGUCUAAGUUCCUUGGAACAGGGCGUCAUAGAGGGUGAGAAUCCCGUACGUAACCGGCCGUCAAUCCCAUGUGAGGUCCCUUCGACGAGUCGAGUUGUUUGGGAAUGCAGCUCAAAAUGGGUGGUAAAUUUCAUCUAAAGCUAAAUAUUGGCCAGAGACCGAUAGCGCACAAGUAGAGUGAUCGAAAGAUGAAAAGCACUUUGGAAAGAGAGUUAAAAAGUAUGUGAAAUUGUUGAAAGGGAAGCGCUCGCAGCCAGACUUGGUCGCAGUCAAUCAACCUUCCCUCGGGGAGGUGCACUUUUCUACGUUCCAGGCCAGCAUCGGUUUCGGCGGUCGGACAAAAGCCCCGGGAAUGUGGCUCCCCUCGGGGAGUGUUAUAGCCCGGGGUGCAAUGCGGCCUGCCGGGACCGAGGACCGCGCUUUUUGCUAGGAUGCUGGCGUAAUGGCUGUCAGCGACC